Molecule: ribosomal RNA, 253 nt
Filed under: uncultured bacterium
Lineage: Bacteria
Description: partial 16S ribosomal RNA
Rfam family: Bacterial small subunit ribosomal RNA
Source: RNAcentral
UACGAAGGGGGCUAGCGUUGCUCGGAAUCACUGGGCGUAAAGCGCACGUAGGCGGACUCUUAAGUCGGUGGUGAAAUCCUGGAGCUCAACUCCAGAACUGCCUUUGAUACUGAGGGUCUCGAGACCGGUAGAGGUAAGUGGAACUGCGAGUGUAGAGGUGAAAUUCGUAGAUAUUCGCAAGAACACCAGUGGCGAAGGCGGCUUACUGGACCGGUUCUGACGCUGAGGCGCGAAAGCGUGGGGAGCAAACAGG